RNAcentral lists this ribosomal RNA (205 nucleotides) under uncultured eukaryote. RNAcentral describes it as "partial 18S ribosomal RNA". It matches the Rfam family "Eukaryotic small subunit ribosomal RNA", at positions 1299 to 1458 of the family's 1831-position model. The record is from RNAcentral.
UGGUGGAGUGAUUCGUCUGGUCAAUUCCGAUAACGAACGAGACCUCAGCCUGCUAAAUAGUCACCAUAGCCGUCUAUAUGGGUGAAGCGUAGACCGUGGGGUGCUCCGGUGCCUCUGCCUCUGCGUGGAUCCCUGAUGUGCUAGUGGGUUGGACUUCUUAGAGGGACUAUUGGCGUUUAGCCAAUGGAAGUUUGAGGCAAUAACA